GAAGAAACUAGUCAACGUGCUGGAUGCUGUUUUCAAGCCUGAAGUUCGCUGAUCCAGAGCAGUCUUUCUGCAAACAUAUCUGGAGUCCAUCAGAUGACGGACAUGUUGAAACUACAGCCAACACUUGCUGAUGAAGGAAUGAUCACAGACCAGGAAGAAGAAAUGAGGCAUUUAAAAGAAGAGAACAAAAGAGAUAUGCAGUCAUUGUUGUUUAUGAAAAAAGAAAUUCUACUUGACCACCAGGAAUGGAAUCUGAGUGUUGACCAGGAGGACAUUAAAGAAGAAGAGAAGCUAUGGAGAGAGCAGCUUCAGCAGCUGGAGGAGGC
Molecule: long non-coding RNA, 326 nt
Organism: Thalassophryne amazonica
Lineage: Eukaryota; Metazoa; Chordata; Actinopteri; Batrachoidiformes; Batrachoididae
Exons: 3
Source: RefSeq, a predicted model, not a curated record